UCUUUCUCUCUCUCUCUCUAACUUCAUUCCAUGGUUCUCCGUCAUCUUUAUCUUCUUGCAUCAGAUUGAACUUCACCUAUUCUGAUGUUUUUUGCUUUUUAUUUUGUAUAUUGCAUCUCAUUUUUAUCGAUUCCUGAUUUGGUGGUCAAGCUGAUGGGAAAAAAGCGCAUGAAAUUGAUGGAGGGUUCACGAAGUUUGCGUUAAGGCUAAUGUUUCUCUCCUUUCAAGAACUUUGAUAUCAUCGGUUUAAUGGGUUGGCCUCCAUCUUCUUCUAUCCAUUGAAAAACCGGCAAAUUCUUCUGGGUUGAGGGAUUGUGGUGAAUGUGACGAUAGGUUUUGUAUGCUCCGAUGGGGUAAACCGUAGGUAUGUUGCCUCAAUCUAUGAAAUUGAGGCAUGUGAUUAUCAAUACUUUACUUGUGAAGUUGUAUUUUACGGAUUAUUGUGGAUUUUAUUUGAAUUUGAAAAUUGAGUAAGAAAGCUUCAUAA
Lactuca sativa (garden lettuce) is the source of this 487-nucleotide non-coding RNA. Lineage: Eukaryota; Viridiplantae; Streptophyta; Magnoliopsida; Asterales; Asteraceae. The record is from RefSeq and is a predicted model, not a curated record.